GUCUGAGUCCCGUAGUUGGUCAAUCGGGCCGCACUUAAGUCCUUUAGGAUUUUGCGGUAGCGUAAGCUUUCCUGGGUUCGAACCCCAGCUCAGACA
Molecule: non-coding RNA, 96 nt
Organism: Cutaneotrichosporon oleaginosum
Lineage: Eukaryota; Fungi; Basidiomycota; Tremellomycetes; Trichosporonales; Trichosporonaceae
Source: the annotation of a RefSeq genome assembly